Dreissena polymorpha is the source of this 3565-nucleotide RNA transcript. RefSeq lists it as uncharacterized. The transcript is spliced from 3 exons. The record is from RefSeq and is a predicted model, not a curated record. NCBI's taxonomy places the organism in Eukaryota, Metazoa, Mollusca, Bivalvia, Myida, Dreissenidae.
GUAUUAAAUUAGUUGAUUUAAGCCACCAGCUGAAGGGGUGUAAUUUCUAAAGAAAAUUUAUAUUAAAGUAAUCAAUAUGGCUACGUUUUCUCAGUCAACUGUGGGUAAAGGCUCUGAUUCAUUUACAGACUUUUGUUGUUCACCGUGUCAAGAGCACAAAGUUGACCAGUGGGCCGAGUUUUACUGUGAUAACUGUCUUAAAUUUUAUUGUGCAAAAUGUAUAAACCUUCAUGGUCAGUUGUUUGGAAAACAUGUGACGUAUGGAAGGGGAGACACGAGUAAGUGGCCGGUGUCCAAGGAAGUGGAGGAUUUUAUUCAGAAAUGUGACCUUCAUGAAGACAAACGGCUAAAGAUGUUUUGUAAUGACCACAGUCAGCUGUGCUGCACUAAUUGUGCUUUCGUCAAUCACAGACAAUGUGCUAAGGUAGCGCUGAUAUCUGAGUCAGUUAAAGGACCUCUGCCAGACUUGCAGCAAAUAUCAAGAAAGAUUCAAACUGUUCUUGAAGAUCUUGAUGAACUUCAGAAUUAUUGGGACACCAAUAUGCAGUCUUUGCAGAUUUCAUUCGACAAACAGGUACAUGAAAUUAGGGACACACGCCAGAAAAUAAAUACAAUUUUAGACAAGAUUGAACAAAAUACCAUAAAAGAGCUAGAAGAUAAGAUGACAAGUCUGAGAGCUUCUGUCAAGACUAAUGUGGACAAUUGCAGCAAGCUUCAAAAUAAACUAAAACGACUCAGUGAUACAAUGCAUGAAAUUGUUGAUAAGGGUAAAGCAGAACUCUCGUUUAUUGCAAGUAAGAAAUGUCUGGAAAAAAUUAAGCAGUCUGAAGCUUAUCUGAUAGAGAACUUAGUUCAGGUAGAAAGUUCACUGACAUUCCAGGCUGACAGUGAUUUUCAACAGCACUUGUCUAAAUUGUCAGGUCUGGGGAGGAUUGUGGUAUGUACUCAGGCUGUACCUCUGCCUGGUGUCCCAAACAAGGUAUUGACUGUGCAAGGAAAGUCAGCGUAUAAUGUGAACAUACCAAGUGAUGCAAAGAAGAGAUUAUAUAUAAGUGGCAUCUGUGUUCUCUUAAAUGAUCAAAUCCUUGUUGCAGAUCAGCAUAAUAAUAGAGUUAAGCUACUAGAUCAUCAAUACUAGGUAGUGGGACAUUGUGAUUUAAAUGCUUGUCCAAUGGACAUGUGUCUUAUCACACCAAGUGAAGUAGCUGUUUCUAUGAUUCGCAAUAAGACACAUGAGGUUCAGUUUGUCUCGGUGAAUGAUGGGAAGCUGGUUAAGGGCAGGAAGUUACAGUUUCAACAUCCAUGUAAAGGUAUUGCUCACAAUCAGCAAGACCUGUAUAUCACCUCUGGUACUGCACUUUACAAGUAUUCAAUGAGUGGAGACCUGCUAAAUAAGCUGUAUGAGGAUACAUCAGACGAUUUCACAGUAGAUAUGUGUGCAGUGAGUCCGUCAGGUGACAAGAUAUUUGUCACAAACUUUAUACACGACAAGGUCAUCACCCUAGCCAGAGAUGGUACAGUCAUCUGCACCUUCACAGACCCAGACUUAGAAUUUCCGCGUGGUAUACAUGUGACAGCUAAGGGACAGGUGCUGGUCUGUGGUUAUUUGUCGGACACUAUCCUACAGCUGGAUGGUGAAGGCAAGAAGAAGCUGACAACUCUUGUUACCAGCAAGGAUGGACUGUGUAAGCCAGUGUCAGUCUUCUACAAUAGGAGCUCAUCAUCCAUCAUUGUGGGUCAACAUUAUAAUGCAAACAUCCUUGUGUUUAAAGUAAAAUAGUUUUGUUUUACAAGAUUCAGUACAAACUUUUGGAACAUGCACUUUCAACACAAAUGCUUGGCAACACCGAACUUGUAUUGAGUGUUAAGUUUCAUCUCUUUAUUCACCUGGAUGAUUUAUUGUGUUGACAAAUACUGUAAGAUCAUGAACAUGUUUAAAAUGUAUUUUCAUUAAAAAAAUCAUGGCAUCAAAGAUAUUUUAUUAGGCGUAUGUUUAAUUGUAUAGUUCUCCCUGGGUGAUUUAUUAUGUUGUCACACACUUUGAAAGCAAGCUACCAUCUGUUCCACGGAAUCAACUGAAUCGCUUUUAUGAUUAUUUUGCAUUUGAAUUGUAUAUAAUCCGUGUAUUUUUAUGAUCUUGAUCUAUAUCUUGGAAAUGAGGAAUAUAUAUAUAUGUGACUUACUUGUUGUCAUUUGUGACAAUAUGUUUGUGUGAUUGUUAUGCAAAGUAAAAUGAACAACAGGAUGCAAAUGAGGAGAGAAGGUUUUACAUUUUCAUUUUAUUCUCUGUCAGCAUUUGUUCUGUUUUAAGAAAAGUUUUGUUUCAUAGAGUUACAAUUGAUGUUUUGUACAGAUUUCUUCCAUUGUUGUUUUAAGAUUUUAUUUUUGUUGAUGACAAUUAUACAUGUAUUUAAUGUCAAACGUGUUAGUGCCGUUACCUUUCACUCUAUCGCCUGUUUAGCGCAACACUCUUCCAAAUCAAUUUCACAAAAGUUUUCAGGAAGAAGAAAAACUUUGGUAUUAUGUUGCUUCUUUAGAUAUGCCAUAUGUUUUUUCUUAAAUUAAUUUAAUUUUGAAAUACUGUUUUAAGUAUAUCUUAACUACAACAUAUGAUAAAUUGGUAAAGAGAUAUUAAGCAUUAUUGAAGUUAGAACAGUUUCCCCACUAAAACAGAGUUUAUUUGCUUUUUUAUUUGGGAGAACACUGUUUAAACUCAAGUUAGAACAGUAUACCACCUAAGAAUUAUUGUUUUUUGCUCAUAUUAAAUGUGUGCAACACUGCACCAAGUGAAUUUAUGAUUCACACUUAUUUAGUUAUGGUUGUUUAAAACAAUAAUUAUUGAAGACAUAACAAUUUUAUAAAAACUUUAUCAAAUGUCUUUUACACAAAACUCAACAUUAUAUAUUGACCCUGUGUUUGUUAAUCGUGCAAUUAUUAUGUUGCUUAAAGAAGUUCAAUUCAAUUUCACAUUUACCUUGUUUUUAUUUAGGGGUGGAAAGUGGCAUGGGUUACCAAAAUCAGAAAUUGAAUUUUCACAUUUACAUUAAGUUGAAUAUUGCAUAGCGGAAAAACUACUUUGUGCAUAAGAGACACUCUUUUUUGUAUUGAAGUACAAAAUGUGCAAUAAGUAGUGUAACACAUACAUACAUUUAUAUAUUACAAUUGCUGCUAUCUUAUUUUAAAUGAAUUGCCAGACCCGUUUGACUUGUUCAUAUUGUCAAAACUCUUAAACAAGCUACGCAUAAACAAAACGAUUAGAUAAGCAUUAAUUUAUAUAUAUCAAAGCAGGCAAAAUUUAUAAUAAAAAAAGACUGAAUGUGUGAUGUAUAUUGUUUGUGUGGCAGUGUUUUCGAAAGUUUAAAAUGGAAAGUUUCAUCACCAAUUAACUGUCAAUGUUUACUAAUGUAAGAUUUUAUUUGAUUAUUACUUACAUCUGACACCAAUCUGUUUAUUCUAUAUCCAAAUCUUACAUGUGACAGCGUAUGAUAUGGUCAAUUCAAAUUACUUGUAGUAUUUGAUGAAACACUGUCUUUAAGUUUAAUAAAAAUAUUUUAUAAAUGGAGAA